Molecule: non-coding RNA, 233 nt
Filed under: Trichomonas vaginalis G3
Lineage: Eukaryota; Parabasalia; Trichomonadida; Trichomonadidae
Description: Eukaryotic small subunit ribosomal RNA
Rfam family: Eukaryotic small subunit ribosomal RNA
Source: Rfam by way of RNAcentral
GGAUUGACGUUUGUAAUCAGCGUCAUGAACCAUGAAUCCCUUGUAAAUGUGUGUCAACAACGCACGUUGAAUACGUCCCUGCCCUUUGUGCACACCGCCCGUCGCUCCUACCGAUUGGAUGACUCGGUGAAAUCACCAGAUGCUUACGAGCAGAAAGUGAUUAAAUCACGUUAUCUACAGGAAGGAGAAGUCGUAACAAGGUAACGGUAGGUGAACCUGCCGUUGGAUCAGUU